AUGAAACACGGUGAGUAGAAAAAAGAAUUCUUGUUGCUGAGUUUUCCCCUCCCUUUGCCAUUUUCGGAUUGGGCUUAGGGCCAUAAGCCCGUGGUGUUUUGCAUACAUACACCCCUGUUUUGCUUAGGAUACCUGUGUUGAAGCCAACGACAAUACUUUGUGUUUGGACCUUAUCUGUUAGGCCCAAAGCCUAUGUUUCCAGGUUGUACAUCCACUGGUUUAUGCACCCCUGCAUAAUUAAUUUAUAUUCCGUUAAUUCUUGUUUUUU
RNAcentral lists this long non-coding RNA (268 nucleotides) under Lathyrus oleraceus (garden pea). RNAcentral describes it as "Pisum sativum (pea) long non-coding RNA (PSAT_LNC032325)". Lineage: Eukaryota; Viridiplantae; Streptophyta; Magnoliopsida; Fabales; Fabaceae. The record is from RNAcentral.